Molecule: non-coding RNA, 24 nt
Filed under: Callithrix jacchus (white-tufted-ear marmoset)
Lineage: Eukaryota; Metazoa; Chordata; Mammalia; Primates; Cebidae
Also listed under: 3 other names
Source: RNAcentral
UCACUACUGCACUUGACUAGUCUU